AAUUCGAUUAGUUUGAUCCUGGCUCAGGACGAACGCUGGCGGCGUGCUUAACACAUGCAAGUGGAGCGACGAACCGGGGCUUGCCCCGGGGCAGAGCCGCGAACGGGUGAGUAACACGUGGGUAACCCACCUCGAUGAUUGGGACAACCCGGGGAAACUCGGGCUAAUACCAAAUGUGCUCGUAGACCAUGAGGUCCAUGAGGAAAGAUAGCUUCGGCCUUCGCAUCGAGACGGGCCCGCGGCCCAUUAGCUUGUUGGUGAGGUAACGGCUCACCG
RNAcentral lists this ribosomal RNA (276 nucleotides) under uncultured bacterium. Its description in RNAcentral is "partial 16S ribosomal RNA". It matches the Rfam family "Bacterial small subunit ribosomal RNA", at positions 1 to 270 of the family's 1533-position model. The record is from RNAcentral.